This 254-nucleotide ribosomal RNA is filed under the name uncultured bacterium. RNAcentral's name for it is "partial 16S ribosomal RNA". It matches the Rfam family "Bacterial small subunit ribosomal RNA", at positions 524 to 776 of the family's 1533-position model. The record is from RNAcentral.
UACGUAGGGUGCAAGCGUUAAUCGGAAUUACUGGGCGUAAAGUGUGCGCAGGCGGCCGCGCAAGUCGAGUGUGAAAGCCCCCGGGCUUAACUUGGGAAUUGCGCUCGAAACUACGUGGCUGGAGUGUGGCAGAGGAAGGUGGAAUUCCAGGUGUAGCGGUGAAAUGCGUAGAGAUCUGGAGGAACACCGAUGGCGAAGGCAGCCUUCUGGGCCAACACUGACGCUCAUGCACGAAAGCGUGGGGAGCAAACAGG